GGAGACGGAGAGCAGAGCAGCUGCUGGCGAGAGGGCGGGCGGACACGGGCACACAGGAGCUCCUCGGCCGGUCAGCUGAAGACCUCCAGUGGAAGCUUUUGACGGGAUGUGAUCAGCCACAGUUGGACAUAUUGUAUCUUUUUUAAAAAAAUGAACAGAUCUCCAUAGAGGAAAAAAGCAUCUAGACAACUUCCUGGAUCCCACUCCUGAGAUGAGAUUUUAAGAGGAAGUUAGAGAGUCUGGGGCACAUGUCCAGCUUCUAAGACAGAUGUUAAAGGCUGAUACCACCAUGUCCCAAGAAGGAUGUCCUUGUCUAAAGAUAAAGAAACUUGCUCAGGAUGACAUAGCUAAUUAAUGACAGAGCUGGAAUUCAAACCCCAGGUUCAGUUGUUCCAAUCCUGUCCAACUCUUCCUCGACCCCAUUUGGAGUUUUCUUGGCAAACUGG
This is a long non-coding RNA of Sarcophilus harrisii (Tasmanian devil), 446 nucleotides long. RefSeq lists it as uncharacterized. NCBI's taxonomy places the organism in Eukaryota, Metazoa, Chordata, Mammalia, Dasyuromorphia, Dasyuridae. The record is from RefSeq and is a predicted model, not a curated record. The transcript is spliced from 4 exons.